Molecule: ribosomal RNA, 278 nt
Filed under: uncultured Rikenellaceae bacterium
Lineage: Bacteria; Pseudomonadati; Bacteroidota; Bacteroidia; Bacteroidales; Rikenellaceae
Description: partial 16S ribosomal RNA
Rfam family: Bacterial small subunit ribosomal RNA
Source: RNAcentral
GCAGCCGCGGUAAUACGGAGGAUGCAAGCGUUAUCCGGAUUUAUUGGGUUUAAAGGGUGCGUAGGCUGUUCGGUAAGUCAGUGGUGAAAUGUUGCAGCUUAACUGCGAAGCUGCCAUUGAUACUGCCGAGCUGGAAUACGGUUGCCGUGGGAGGAAUGUGUAAUGUAGCGGUGAAAUGCAUAGAUAUUACACAGAACACCGAUUGCGAAGGCAUCUCACGAAACCGCGAUUGACGCUGAGGCACGAAAGUGCGGGGAUCAAACAGGAUUAGAUACCCC